This is a small nucleolar RNA of Carcharodon carcharias (great white shark), 81 nucleotides long. RefSeq annotates it as small nucleolar RNA MBII-202. NCBI's taxonomy places the organism in Eukaryota, Metazoa, Chordata, Chondrichthyes, Lamniformes, Lamnidae. The record is from RefSeq and is a predicted model, not a curated record. The transcript has a single exon.
AUGACAAUUUCUCCGGAAUCUCUGUACAUCAUUGAUGAUUUUUGUUGAACCCUUUUCCAUCUGAUGACUGUGGGAAUGUCA